Non-coding RNA from Chelonoidis abingdonii (Abingdon island giant tortoise), 128 nucleotides. The record is from RefSeq and is a predicted model, not a curated record. Lineage: Eukaryota; Metazoa; Chordata; Testudines; Testudinidae.
GCGGCCCCUCCAAGGACGCUACCACUCUGCCCAAACCUCAUCUCCCAGGAUGGAGGGUGCCUCUUCCAUCCCAAUCUGGCCGCACUCCACCUGACAGCAUGGAUAGACUUGGAAGAGUGCAGGUGUUC